Molecule: ribosomal RNA, 253 nt
Filed under: uncultured bacterium
Lineage: Bacteria
Description: partial 16S ribosomal RNA
Rfam family: Bacterial small subunit ribosomal RNA
Source: RNAcentral
UACAGAGGUCCCAAGCGUUGUUCGGAUUCAUUGGGCGUAAAGGGUGCGUAGGCGGCGCGGUAAGUCGGGUGUGAAAUCUCGGGGCUUAACUCCGAAACUGCAUUCGAUACUGCCGUGCUUGAGGACUGGAGAGGAGACUGGAAUUUACGGUGUAGCGGUGAAAUGCGUAGAUAUCGAGAGGAACACCAGUGGCGAAGGCGGCUGCCUGGGCCUGGCCUGACGCUGAGGCGCGAAAGCGUGGGGAGCGAUCCGG